Molecule: non-coding RNA, 56 nt
Organism: Cronobacter sp.
Lineage: Bacteria; Pseudomonadati; Pseudomonadota; Gammaproteobacteria; Enterobacterales; Enterobacteriaceae
Source: Rfam
CCCCGUACACCGUGCGGGGCCCUUCUUUAGCCUAUGCAAUAAGGGGAUUGCUCGUG